RNAcentral lists this ribosomal RNA (253 nucleotides) under uncultured bacterium. RNAcentral's name for it is "partial 16S ribosomal RNA". It matches the Rfam family "Bacterial small subunit ribosomal RNA", at positions 524 to 776 of the family's 1533-position model. The record is from RNAcentral.
UACGUAGGGGGCAAGCGUUGUCCGGAAUCAUUGGGCGUAAAGCGCGUGUAGGCGGCUCGGUAAGUCCGCUGUGAAAGUCGGGGGCUCAACCCUCGGAUGCCGGUGGAUACUGUCGGGCUAGAGUACGGAAGAGGCGAGUGGAAUUCCUGGUGUAGCGGUGAAAUGCGUAGAUAUCUGGAAGAACACCAGUGGCGAAGGCGGUCAACUGGCCCGAAACUGACGCUGAGGCACGAAAGCGUGGGUAGCGAACAGG